UGUGCCAGCCGCCGCGGUAAUACGUAGGGCGCAAGCGUUAUCCGGAUUUAUUGGGCGUAAAGGGCUCGUAGGCGGCUCGUCGCGUCCGGUGUGAAAGUCCAUCGCUUAACGGUGGAUCUGCGCCGGGUACGGGCGGGCUGGAGUGCGGUAGGGGAGACUGGAAUUCCCGGUGUAACGGUGGAAUGUGUAGAUAUCGGGAAGAACACCGAUGGCGAAGGCAGGUCUCUGGGCCGUCACUGACGCUGAGGAGCGAAAGCGUGGGGAGCGAACAGGAUUA
This 277-nucleotide ribosomal RNA is filed under the name uncultured Bifidobacteriales bacterium. Its description in RNAcentral is "partial 16S ribosomal RNA". It matches the Rfam family "Bacterial small subunit ribosomal RNA", at positions 504 to 780 of the family's 1533-position model. The record is from RNAcentral. Lineage: Bacteria; Bacillati; Actinomycetota; Actinomycetes; Bifidobacteriales.